UGGGGAAUAUUGCACAAUGGGCGAAAGCCUGAUGCAGCAACGCCGCGUGAGUGAUGAAGGUCUUCGGAUUGUAAAGCUCUGUCUUUUGGGACGAUAAUGACGGUACCAAAGGAGGAAGCCACGGCUAACUACGUGCCAGCAGCCGCGGUAAUACGUAGGUGGCGAGCGUUGUCCGGAUUUACUGGGCGUAAAGGGUGCGUAGGCGGAUGUUUAAGUGAGAUGUGAAAUACCCGGGCUUAACUUGGGUGCUGCAUUUCAAACUGGAUAUCUAGAGUGCAGGAGAGGAGAAUGGAAUUCCUAGUGUAGCGGUGAAAUGCGUAGAGAUUAGGAAGAACACCAGUGGCGAAGGCGAUUCUCUGGACUGUAACUGACGCUGAGGCACGAAAGCGUGGGUAGCAAACAGGAUUAGAUACCCUGGUAGUCCACGUCGUAAACGAUGAGUACUAGGUGUAGGAGGUAUCGACCCCUUCUGUGCCGCAGUAAACACAUUAAGUACUCCGCCUGGGAAGUACGAUCGCAAGAUUAAAAC
RNAcentral lists this ribosomal RNA (529 nucleotides) under uncultured bacterium. RNAcentral describes it as "partial 16S ribosomal RNA". It matches the Rfam family "Bacterial small subunit ribosomal RNA", at positions 355 to 900 of the family's 1533-position model. The record is from RNAcentral.